AGAGAGGUGUCCGAGCGGUCGAAGGAGCACGCCUGGAACGCGUGUGUGGGGUAAACUCACCGAGGGUUCGAAUCCCUUCCUCUCUGCCA
This 89-nucleotide transfer RNA is filed under the name Campylobacter lari. RNAcentral describes it as "tRNA-Ser". It matches the Rfam family "tRNA". From Rfam's summary of the family: Transfer RNA (tRNA) molecules are approximately 80 nucleotides in length. Their secondary structure includes four short double-helical elements and three loops (D, anti-codon, and T loops). Lineage: Bacteria; Pseudomonadati; Campylobacterota; Epsilonproteobacteria; Campylobacterales; Campylobacteraceae. The record is from RNAcentral.